UACAGAGGGCCCAAGCGUUGUUCGGAUUCAUUGGGCGUAAAGGGUGCGUAGGCGGCGCGGUAAGUCGGGUGUGAAAUCUCGGGGCUUAACUCCGAAACUGCAUUCGAUACUGCCGUGCUUGAGGACUGGAGAGGAGACUGGAAUUUACGGUGUAGCGGUGAAAUGCGUAGAUAUCGUAAGGAAGACCAGUGGCGAAGGCGGGUCUCUGGACAGUUCCUGACGCUGAGGCACGAAGGCCAGGGGAGCAAACGGG
Molecule: ribosomal RNA, 253 nt
Filed under: uncultured bacterium
Lineage: Bacteria
Description: partial 16S ribosomal RNA
Rfam family: Bacterial small subunit ribosomal RNA
Source: RNAcentral